CGGCGAGGGGAGUGAAAAAGAACCUGAAACCGUGUACGUACAAGCAGUGGGAGCACGCUUAGGCGUGUGACUGCGUACCUUUUGUAUAAUGGGUCAGCGACUUAUAUUCUGUAGCAAGGUUAACCGAAUAGGGGAGCCGAAGGGAAACCGAGUCUUAACUGGGCGUUAAGUUGCAGGGUAUAGACCCGAAACCCGGUGAUCUAGCCAUGGGCAGGUUGAAGGUUGGGUAACACUAACUGGAGGACCGAACCGACUAAUGUUGAAAAAUUAGCGGAUGACUUGUGGCUGGGGGUGAAAGGCCAAUCAAACCGGGAGAUAGCUGGUUCUCCCCGAAAGCUAUUUAGGUAGCGCCUCGUGAAUUCAUCUCCGGGGGUAGAGCACUGUUUCGGCAAGGGGGUCAUCCCGACUUACCAACCCGAUGCAAACUGCGAAUACCGGAGAAUGUUAUCACGGGAGACACACGGCGGGUGCUAACGUCCGUCGUGAAGAGGGAAACAACCCAGACCGCCAGCUAAGGUCCCAAAGUCAUGGUUAAGUGGGAAACGAUGUGGGAAGGCCCAGACAGCCAGGAUGUUGGCUUAGAAGCAGCCAUCAUUUAAAGAAAGCGUAAUAGCUCACUGGUCGAGUCGGCCUGCGCGGAAGAUGUAACGGGGCUAAACCAUGCAC
RNAcentral lists this ribosomal RNA (666 nucleotides) under Escherichia coli. Its description in RNAcentral is "partial 23S ribosomal RNA". It matches the Rfam family "Bacterial large subunit ribosomal RNA", at positions 527 to 1194 of the family's 2925-position model. The record is from RNAcentral. Lineage: Bacteria; Pseudomonadati; Pseudomonadota; Gammaproteobacteria; Enterobacterales; Enterobacteriaceae.